This 1401-nucleotide long non-coding RNA is filed under the name Callithrix jacchus (white-tufted-ear marmoset). RNAcentral describes it as "lncRNA (ENSCJAG00000077856.1)". The record is from RNAcentral. Lineage: Eukaryota; Metazoa; Chordata; Mammalia; Primates; Cebidae.
AGAGGCUGAGGUGAAAGAAUUGCUUGAGCCCAGGAGUUUGAGGCUGCAGUGAGCUAUGAUUUUACUGCUGUACUCUUUCUGUCAGUCAGGCUGGAGUGCGGUGGUGUGAUCACAGCUCACUAUAGCCUCAAACUCCAAACUCCCUGGCGCAGGAGAUCCUUCCAUCUCAGCCUCCUGAGUAGCUGGGGUUACAGGCACAUGCCACCAUAUCCAGCUAAUUUUUGUAGAGAUGAGAUUUUGCCAUGUUGCCCGGGCUUGCCAAAACCUGAAAGAUGACUCUGCUGGCUCCUUCUUCAUGACCUGCAGCAGACGAGUUAAUAAGCCCCUCUUCCCAACACACACCAAACUCCUGUCGGUGUUGAGGACAGCUUCUACCUCAGGGAGCAUUAUUGCUCCGGGGACUCUUCAGGUCUUGGUGUUUGAGCAGUGGUGGAAGAGAGUCCACUGUGGCCAGCAUCUGUGAAGUUGGGAAUUGCAGAGGCCGAGGCGGGUGGGUCAUGAGGUCAAGAGAUCGAGACCAUCCUGGUCAACAUGGUGAAACCCUGUCUCUACUAAAAAUACAAAAAUUAGCUGGGCAUGGUGGUGCACACCUGUAGUCCCAGCUAUUCGGGAGGCUGAGGCAGGAGAAUUGCUUGAACCCAGGAGGCAGAGGUUGUGGUGAGCCGAGAUCACUCCAUUGCACUCCAGCCUGGGUAACAAGAGUGAAACUCUGUCUCAAAAAAAAAAAAACUGCGAUACAGUUUUCCAAACAUUUCCAUCAGCAUGUGUGGGAGUGCCAGUUGCUCCACAUCCUUGCCAACACAAAUCCUUUUCAAUUUUAGCCAUUCGAUGCAUCAGCAGAGAGCCAUCGCGUUUUUAGGACUUCGUUUUUUGAGACAGUGUCUCGCUCUGUCAACCGGUAUGAAGUGCAGUGAUCAUGGCUCACUGUAAUCUUGAACUUCAAGGCUCAAGACAUCCUCCCAUUUCAGCCUCCAGGGCAGCUAGGACUGCAAGCAUGUGCCACUGCACCCAGCUAACUUAAGAAAAAAUUUUUUUUUUUGUAGAGACGGAGUCUUGAUAUGUUAUCCAGGCUGGUCUUGAACUCCUAGCUUCAAGCAAUCCUGUCGCCUUGACCUCCCAAAGUGCUGGGAUUACAGGCAUGAUUCACCACACCUGGCCCAUCUUUAGGGCUUUUUUUAAACAGCAGUUUCAUUGUUAUCCUAACACACGCAAGGUAAACUCAGGAAGAAGGAGGAAUGGUAUGUCCUUGAGGGUCAGUGGUCAUGUUUGUGCCUAUGCAGCCUGGCUGUGGGCCUCAUGAGGAAGCCCUGGCAGGUAAUACUGGGUAAUUAUAUGAUAAAGCAAAGGCGAUGGGGUCAGACAGACCUCAGUAUAGGUUCCAGAUCUCCCAAGCCACUAGAC